RNAcentral lists this ribosomal RNA (497 nucleotides) under uncultured marine eukaryote. RNAcentral describes it as "bacterial SSU rRNA". It matches the Rfam family "Eukaryotic small subunit ribosomal RNA", at positions 619 to 1121 of the family's 1831-position model. The record is from RNAcentral.
UUAAAAAGCUCGUAGUUGGAUUUCUUGGGUAGCAAGCGGGUCGGCACAAAGUGUCUGUACUAGCUUUGCUAUUCAAUCCUCGUAACAAGGUAUCGGUGAGUUAACUCCAUUCGGUGCUGAGUUGCGUCAUUUACUGUGAACAAAUUAGAGUGUUUAAAGCAGGCAAAUGCUGUGAAUACAUUAGCAUGGAAUAAUAAGAUAGGACCUAGAGUCUAUUUUGUUGGUUGCGAUUUUAGGUAAUGAUUAAUAGGGAUAGUUGGGGGUAUUCAUAUUCAAUUGUCAGAGGUGAAAUUCUUGGAUUUAUGGAAGAUGAACAACUGCGAAAGCAUUUACCAAGGAUGUUUUCAUUAAUCAAGAACGAAAGUUAGGGGAUCGAAGAUGAUUAGAUAUCAUCGUAGUCUUAACCAUAAACUAUGCCGACUAGGGAUUGGACGAAGUUAUUUAUACGACUUGUUCAGCACCUUAUGAGAAAUCAAAGUCUUUGGGGUUCCGGGGGG